RNA transcript from Cornus florida, 1158 nucleotides. RefSeq lists it as uncharacterized. NCBI's taxonomy places the organism in Eukaryota, Viridiplantae, Streptophyta, Magnoliopsida, Cornales, Cornaceae. The transcript has 4 exons. The record is from RefSeq and is a predicted model, not a curated record.
UACUACCAAAUCCUCUCCUCUCUUAUUCUGUGACUGUCUUCAACCCUGGCACACACAGUCACACUCGCACACGCGCACACAGACACUCGCACACGCGCACGUAGACAUCAACAAUGAGUGAUAGUGGUAGAGUGAUUGAAUUUGAGAAUAGAUCUAGUGUGGAAAUGGAAAUCAGAAUUUUCACGCCCCCGGACAGACCAGACAGAUAUAAAAAAAUCAUCAGAAUAGAACCAUGUAAAACUCAGAAAGUGUUAUCUCAAUCUUUGUUUCCGGAUCCUAUAAACCAUACAUUUCUACUGUUUUUCACGGAUGGGGUUUACGCUCGACGAUUUGAACUAUCACAAGAUGUGGUGGGUUGUACCAAUAUCACCUGCGAAAUUAAUCACGACGGAGAAUUGAAUAUUCAACGCUUCAAAGACAAAUUGCCAGCUGCCCUUCGCAUACUCAAGGAGAAAUUGCAGUGGGGAAGAAACAAGAUUAAUAAUAACUUACGCAAGUUUUCCACCACCGUGUUUGCAGCAGUUUAAUAAAGAUGGUGGUAGUCCAGAAGUACUCCAGGCUCUCAAUUUGAAGCUCUUAAUAAAUAACUGCUGUGCUGGGGGACAACCAAGAUAGAUGAAUGUACGUGCAAAGACUUCAUCUAAUAAGCUAUUCUAACAAAUUUGACUACGCUUGUUUACACAAUCUCUUCGUCUUCAAGGAGUGAUAUUUCUUUUAAUUUUUUCCAAAAGUAAUACAUUUAUUAUAUUUCUCAAAGAGUUGGGAUCCUCUGCUAUACAACAUUGGUGCCAUACCACUUUAGAUGACCAUGAUCACCUCACACAUGCACUACCAUGUGAAGUGAUGGAGGCCGUCGAAAGGACAUGGCCAGAGGAGGGCCAAGCGGUCGCCCGGAGUUGGUUCAGUUCCAAUAAGACCUGUUGGAGUACCCUUAUUUUCAAUUGUCUUAGGACUGGAGAUUGUAUGGUCCUUGUUAAUUAACAAGAUCACUGCAACGAUUCAGCACUGGACCAGUAAGAAGCUCUGAUUGAUUAAGUCCGUUCUAUGCAGCAUUCAGCAAUGUUACUCGAUCCAGCCACCUACCAAUCAGAAUCAUCAAUGAUGUAAUUCUUUUUAUCAAAUAAUAAUAAUAAUAAUAAAAUGUUAUAAGAUGAUCUU